CAAACUGCGAAUACCGGAGAAUGUUAUCACGGGAGACACACGGCGGGUGCUAACGUCCGUCGUGAAGAGGGAAACAACCCAGACCGCCAGCUAAGGUCCCAAAGUCAUGGUUAAGUGGGAAACGAUGUGGGAAGGCCCAGACAGCCAGGAUGUUGGCUUAGAAGCAGCCAUCAUUUAAAGAAAGCGUAAUAGCUCACUGGUCGAGUCGGCCUGCGCGGAAGAUGUAACGGGGCUAAACCAUGCACCGAAGCUGCGGCAGCGAACGUAUCACUUAAAGCGAUUCAGCGGGUUACGAUUGACGGAGCGAAGCGACGUCAAAGCGUAUACAAAGUCGAGUCGGUUUAAGGAUACGUUCGUUGGGUAGGGGAGCGUUCUGUAAGCCUGUGAAGGUGUGUCGUGAGGCAUGCUGGAGGUAUCAGAAGUGCGAAUGCUGACAUAAGUAACGAUAAAGCGGGUGAAAAGCCCGCUCGCCGGAAGACCAAGGGUUCCUGUCCAACGUUAAUCGGGGCAGGGUGAGUCGACCCCUAAGGCGAGGCCGAAAGGCGUAGUCGAUGGGAAACGGGUUAAUAUUCCCGUACUUGGUGUUACUGCGAAGGGGGGACGGAGAAGGCUAUGUUGGCCGGGCGACGGUUGUCCCGGUUUAAGCGUGUAGGUGUGUGUUCCAGGUAAAUCCGGUUCACUUUAACACUGAGGCGUGAUGACGAGGCACUACGGUGCUGAAGCAACAAAUGCCCUGCUUCCAGGAAAAGCCUCUAAGCAUCAGGUAACAUCAAAUCGUACCCCAAACCGACACAGGUGGUCAGGUAGAGAAUACCAAGGCGCUUGAGAGAACUCGGGUGAAGGAACUAGGCAAAAUGGUGCCGUAACUUCGGGAGAAGGCACGCUGACACGUAGGUGAAGUGAUUUACUCAUGGAGCUGAAGUCAGUCGAAGAUACCAGCUGGCUGCAACUGUUUAUUAAAAACACAGCACUGUGCAAACACGAAAGUGGACGUAUACGGUGUGACGCCUGCCCGGUGCCGGAAGGUUAAUUGAUGGGGUCAGCGCAAGCGAAGCUCCUGAUCGAAGCCCCGGUAAACGGCGGCCGUAACUAUAACGGUCCUAAGGUAGCGAAAUUCCUUGUCGGGUAAGUUCCGACCUGCACGAAUGGCGUAAUGAUGGCCAGGCUGUCUCCACCCGAGACUCAGUGAAAUUGAACUCGCUGUGAAGAUGCAGUGUACCCGCGGCAAGACGGAAAGACCCCGUGAACCUUUACUAUAGCUUGACACUGAACAUUGAGCCUUGAUGUGUAGGAUAGGUGGGAGGCUUUGAAGCGUGGACGCCAGUCUGCGUGGAGCCGACCUUGAAAUACCACCCUUUAAUGUUUGAUGUUCUAACGUGGACCCGUAAUCCGGGUUGCGGACAGUGUCUGGUGGGUAGUUUGACUGGGGCGGUCUCCUCCUAAAGAGUAACGGAGGAGCACGAAGGUUGGCUAAUCCUGGUCGGACAUCAGGAGGUUAGUGCAAUGGCAUAAGCCAGCUUGACUGCGAGCGUGACGGCGCGAGCAGGUGCGAAAGCAGGUCAUAGUGAUCCGGUGGUUCUGAAUGGAAGGGCCAUCGCUCAACGGAUAAAAGGUACUCCGGGGAUAACAGGCUGAUACCGCCCAAGAGUUCAUAUCGACGGCGGUGUUUGGCACCUCGAUGUCGGCUCAUCACAUCCUGGGGCUGAAGUAGGUCCCAAGGGUAUGGCUGUUCGCCAUUUAAAGUGGUACGCGAGCUGGGUUUAGAACGUCGUGAGACAGUUCGGUCCCUAUCUGCCGUGGGCGCUGGAGAACUGAGGGGGGCUGCUCCUAGUACGAGAGGACCGGAGUGGACGCAUCACUGGUGUUCGGGUUGUCAUGCCAAUGGCACUGCCCGGUAGCUAAAUGCGGAAGAGAUAAGUGCUGAAAGCAUCUAAGCACGAAACUUGCCCCGGGAUGAGUUCUCCCUGAGACUUAGAGUCUCCUGAAGGAACGUUGAAGACGACGACGUUGAUAGGCCGGGUGUGUAAGCGCAGCGAUGCGUUGAGCUAACCGGUACUAAUGAACCGUGAGGCUUAACCUUACAACGCCGAA
This 2091-nucleotide ribosomal RNA is filed under the name Salmonella enterica subsp. enterica serovar Paratyphi B. Its description in RNAcentral is "partial 23S ribosomal RNA". It matches the Rfam family "Bacterial large subunit ribosomal RNA", at positions 950 to 2925 of the family's 2925-position model. Lineage: Bacteria; Pseudomonadati; Pseudomonadota; Gammaproteobacteria; Enterobacterales; Enterobacteriaceae. The record is from RNAcentral.